AACAUUUUGUCUCUUCCACCACCGUCUCCGGCAUCGCUCUGCCACGCAUCUACCCAUCACUUCAGCAAUCGCAAGACUGCUCCGAACUGGGUUCUUCAGUCCGGAAGAUCGUACCAGUGAAUCGGCCCUCUCACCUUACUUCAGUACUUACUACCUGCUUUGGUAAUUUGGAUGGGGUGGAAGUCCCUGGGAUGGCAUUUUUGUUUUUGAUGGCCUUGCAUGAUUUCAAUGGCUCGAGUCUUGCCUUGAUGUUUGCCUCUGCCAUUCAUAAAGUUUAGUUUAUUAGUGCAUGGUUUCGGUGGUAAGUUUGCCCUUCGCUAGGUUUUUCAUAACUUACUUGGAUGCACAGAGUGUAAGAGGAGGAGUAGAUUAGUAUUUUAUCUUACUUGGAAGAAAAAGAAGAAGGAAAUUGGUCCAGAAACUGAUCAAAUCACUUUUAUGCUGCCUGCAACAAGAGUAUUUUCUAACAUUUAGACUAGACUGUUUUAUGAUUUCAUUCUGUAAGGGAGGCCUACCUCAUCGAAAAUUUUGUUGAGAACUUCUUAUGUUACAUGGUCACAUAUAUAAACUUAAAAACUUACAUCGAACCAAAUGCUUUGGGUCCAAAAUGGAAGAUAGGAAGAAGGUGUGGAAAAUACAAAAAAUCAGAUUCAGUUUACCAUGUACUUUUAGGAAUUGGCAUUAGGUUACUGAAAUUUUGUCAUUACUCCCUCAACCAUUUAAACAUUAAAGGAAAGAAAUUGGAACCGGAGGCUCCACAAUGUUGUCAAAUUUGGUGCCCAAUUUGACAAAGCCGGUACAUCUACAUGUUGGUAAACAGAGGAAGGAUCAUGGAUGGUUUGGACUCAGAAUUCUAUAUUGAUACUCGUCCAAGCAUGAGUGAUGCUGAGGACGCAUAGAUUACUGUUAUCGUUUAUUGUACAUGUUAGAUAAUGUAGUGAAUUUGGAGAACCUUGGCUUCCAGUCAAUAGAUAAGUCCUGUGUAUGUACGUUGUCGCAAUUAUUCAACUAGAGUUUGAUAUAUAGAUGUAUGCUAAAAUAGUUUUACCAGCAAUUACCAAGGUCUUUUAUGUUUUAACUGGUGCUUGAGACUUCUUUGAAGUUGUUAAUUCACAUAUGCAUGAAGGUCAUUAAGUAAAAAUUUGAUUUUUGCCUGCAGCUUGGAUGUUUGGCAUGCUUUGAGCACUUAAAUCCACUUUCUACUGACUUAUCCUUUGUCUUCUGCAUUUUGAGUGAUUUAGUAAUCUCUCUUUCUGUCAAUGUUCACUUGAGCUCUUUGAUAUAUAUGGUCUCUUUUUGGGGGAAAAUGAACGACAUCAUACUACUGCUUGAAUGGAUAUGGAAUUCAAAAUACAGGGGUCAUUACUGACUUCCAGUUUGAUUGGUGACAGAAAUUGGAACCGGAGGCUCCACAAUGUAGUCUUGUUUCUAGAAAGAAAGUUUUGUCGGGACUUUUCUGUUUCUUUCUUUUGUUGCAGUGUGCUGGAUAGAUUUCUAAAAUUGAAUUGGAUAGAUUUCAAUUGUUGAAGGGUAUUGACUUACUUAUGAAUGACAGGACAAAGUAUGACACUUUUUCUGGUCUCGGAGAUGACUUAAAAAAGGAUUGGCUAUUGAUGCACAUUGGUAAUUGAUUUUUUUUUGGGUAAUCUCCAGUUGAAGUUGUUUUUGUAGAAGAAGUUGAGCUGAUUGCUGGAAGCCCAAGUAGAGCAAGUAAAAGUUGUUACUACUCCAUCGUGUAUCCAUGACUUUUUAAAUUCUGAUGAGUUCUUUUGUCAUUUUCUUGUCAUUUAUUUUUAAGAAAAUGAAGAACAUAUGGAACAAAUAGGAAAAGUUCUUGAUUGAUUUUCGCCGUCCUGCUUAGUUGAAUUCAUAAA
This is a long non-coding RNA of Coffea arabica (coffee), 1874 nucleotides long. RefSeq lists it as uncharacterized. Lineage: Eukaryota; Viridiplantae; Streptophyta; Magnoliopsida; Gentianales; Rubiaceae. The record is from RefSeq and is a predicted model, not a curated record.